This 325-nucleotide ribosomal RNA is filed under the name uncultured fungus. RNAcentral describes it as "bacterial SSU rRNA". It matches the Rfam family "Eukaryotic small subunit ribosomal RNA", at positions 39 to 352 of the family's 1831-position model. Lineage: Eukaryota; Fungi. The record is from RNAcentral.
AAAGAUUAAGCCAUGCACGUGUAAGUACAUGCCGUCCAAGGAGAAACCGGUCAUGGCUCAUAUAAUCAGUUACGGUUCCUGAGAGCUCGACUAUCUACCUGGAUAACUGUGGAGAAUCUAGAGCUAAUACAUGCACAAAAGCUUUGACACUUAACGGAAAAAGCGCAUUUAUUAGACCAAGACCAAUGGGUUCGUUUCGGCGAUACCCUCUUAGUGGUGACUCAGGAUAACUUGUUCUACUGACAUGGCUUUAGAGCCGGCGAUGAAUCUUUCACGGGUUUGCAUUAUCAACAGUUGAAGGUAGGCUAUCAUGGUACCAUGGUUG